Molecule: long non-coding RNA, 3389 nt
Filed under: Gallus gallus (chicken)
Lineage: Eukaryota; Metazoa; Chordata; Aves; Galliformes; Phasianidae
Description: lncRNA (ENSGALG00010016511.1)
Source: RNAcentral
GUCGCCCCCGCAGCGCCCCGUACCGCGUGCGGCCCCCACCGCCCGGCCCGAGCUGCGGCGCUGCCGGCUGCUGACAUUUCCGCGGUUAUUGCUCCGCUCCGAGCUCUGCCAUCGCCGUUACAAUGGGAACAAUUACACUCAAUUAUUCUCCACCACACCGUUGACAAAAAAAGAUGGCAUUUAAACUUUAAUUAUUCUCUCGGUGUGCGUGAGCAGCAUGGCCCGCAGCCCGGGCAGCCCCUCAGCACUGCUCCGUCUGCACCGAGCGGUGACCCCGGGAUCGUGCUGCCACCGGGGAGGGAUGGGAGGAGCCCAGCACCCACCCCGAGCCCGGCGGGGGCUGCAGGGAGCGGUCGGAGCCCAGCACCCACCACCCGCACACGUGCAGCGUGGCAUCACGGAGGCAGUAAAUCCCAGAGCCCGGAGCAGCUGCAACUCGGAGCAGCUUUUUCCAUAAAGGCAGAGGCACGUUAUUUAAGGCUGCUCUUAAAACCUAAUGUUAGGUUUAAUAAGGGAGAUAAAAGCGUGCCAGAGGCUGUCCUGCGCGGGGCUGCGCGCUGCCGGCUGUGCAGGUGGAUGGGCCCUGCGUCCUGCUGGCACGGCCACACCAACACCCACCCCGGCGAUGCGGUGACCCCACUCCCGCUGGCACUGCCAGCAGAGGGCUGGCAUCGUGUGGGCACAGAGCCCUCGGACCCAAACACGGGGCUUUUGGCCCCAAGCAGCCUCCCCCGCUGUGCCCCUCCCCCUCACCCCCCCCCCCCCAUGCUGACCUCUCCCCACCUGCCCCCGCACGCAGGGCGUGUGCCAUCUCAUUAGUGUGUCUGUCCCCCAAAGUGAGAAGGGAGAGAGCGUGAGACCUAAUUGAAUGUAACUAAUUAUUCACUCUGCAAAUGCUGUUUAAAUGGGAUUGUGAGGGACAAAAUUACUCAUUCUGAAAAGGGGAGAGAAAGAGAGAAAGACAGAGAGAAAACAAAUAGAGGCGGGUGCUGGAGCUGCAGCUCCCUCUCUCCCCAGAAUACCAAUUACCGGAUGAAGUGAUUGUAUAAAUCUUUACCGAGUGAACGAACUGUAGUAGUCACUUACUUCUGUCCUCUUAUUACACGGAAGCAAUGAAAAAUCGUCCCUCUCUGCAGUCCAGUUAAGGGCUCCCAAGCGCUGUGCGAUGCUCUCUGCACGGCUGCGCAGCUCGGCCCCGGCGUGCGUCGGGGUGAUGACCCUACAGACGUGGGGCCAAGCACUUGGCACUGGGCUGGGCCCACUGCUCACGGCCCACACGGGUGCAGCAUUGGCAUGCACAGGGCUGGGGGAUCCCAGACCCCGUAUGGCACACGCAGUGGCCUGGUUCCACUCAAGGUGCUGUGGGUGGGCUGUGGUCACAGCAGUGCUGUGCCACCAGCAGCCCAAGCCCCCCAAGCCCUCCAUCCCCGGGCCCACAUGGCUCAGAUACAUGUUGAGGAUGCACUGGAGGAGUUGAGCUGUUGGGUCUCUCCAAGCAGCCCCGUGGCCAGACAGUGGAGGGGUGGAGGGCUGAGGGAACCCGCAGGCUGUCUUGCCUUGUGCUGGAUGGCAUCUGGCUGCUGCCGGCAGCAAGCUCCCAUGCACUGCGUGGGUGUGAGGGAGUGAUAACAUCAUCAUCAUCAUAACAAAUGCAGCUGUGCAGCUCCAUUCUGUGCUUAUUGGCUUUCUUCUGUUUAUCUAUAAAUAAUUGUGGGGACACAAUAGACUUUUAAGACUGCCGAAGAGUUCGUCUCCCUCCAGGAACCGUAUUGCCACAGUGCUGCCACCUUAUCUGCUCGUAGAAAGAUGAGGGUGGGAAAAAUAUUUACUGUCGGGGAUAUUUGUCAUCUGCAAAUUACCUCUGCCUACAGCCUGCAGCGGGAGCAGGGCUGACAGCUCCCAGCUGCACCGCAGGAACACGAGCACUGUGUUCUCCAUGCAGCCCCAGCCCCACCCGAGCCCCCCCAUGGGCCAGCACUGUGCACACGGGUCCAACCCUAGCAAUGCACUCUGCCUGCUGCCCCCAGCCCCGAUCCCAUUGCAUCCCACCCAUCUGCAGCGCAGCGCUUCCACGCAGCACUUAUCACUGCUGUAUCCAAGAACAGAUCUAAUUGAUGUGACACCAAUUAUUCAAGUAUCACUAAACGCAGAACUAAUGCAUCUCUGUGUACAAACCUCCUAGCCCCUGACCAUGAAAUUAUAACUCUGACGUGGAAGGAGCCAGCAUGAGAGAGCCAACUCUGGGCUGGCGCUGCCAGGAUGCUGUCAGCUGCACGGAGGUGCCCGCAGCCCCUCUCGCUGCAGGAGAGCAGAGCCCUGCUGGAUGGGCAGUGCCAGACUUGGGCAGCAUCAGCCCAGCGGUGCAUGGACGGCACGUGGAGCUGCGUGCUCUGCAGGCAGCACAAGAGUUGUUUCUAGACUGCUCAGCAGCUAGCAAGGCUCUUGGCUUGGAUGUGGACUGGUGCUGGGAAAGGCCAUUUGUGGCAUCUGAAACCUUACUGUGAAAUUAAGCUAUGCCUGGACACACACAGCUCGCCAUAGCGGCAGUUUGCAUUUUGUAAAUUGCUUUUUGCGUUAAAUUAAAGGGAUGGCUGAUAGCCCCGUGGGGGCAGAGCCCCGCACCCCGUGUCGCACCGCAGCCCCCAGCAUCCCUGGGGCAGCAGCCCCAGCACUCCCACCCAUGCUGGGGGACACAGCACGGGGCAAAGCUCUGCCUCCUCCGGGCACAUCUGGAUGUGCUGCUCAGAUGGCCGAGGGCUCGUCCCACUUCUGCUUCGCUCAAUGUUUUCAUUAAAGACCCAGGUGAUGGAAUAGAGAAAGCGCUUAUUAAAUUUGCAGAUGACACGAAGCUGGGAGGGACUACAAGUAUCUUGGAGGACAGGAUUGGAAUUCAAAAUGAUCUUGACAAAUUGGAGAAAUGGACUGGAAAGAAUAGGAUGAAAUUCAACAGGGAUGAGUGCGAGGUACUGCACAGUGAUGGGAACCGGCGGCAGAGCAACCAGCCUGGAGACAGCAGGGGGGCUGCAGGGCACCCCGCCAUCCCGGGGCCAUGCCCAGGGCCCCCCUGCUGCCUUCCCAUCGCUCCAGCAAUUAGAGCUCCCGCCAGCACCCUCCGCCUGUGCAAACACCCGAGACUCAUUUAAAUAAAUUAAGAAGACAUAAUAAAUCAAAGGGAAAUGAGGGGCUGUGCCUGGGGGCAGGGGAGUCACUCGAGUUUAAUUACAUUGGCAAAGCUGCUGCAGCCGGCACGGCGCGUCCCAUGCACUGCUCUGCAUGGGGGGCAGGCAGGCAGGCAGGCACACACCCAGCACCCAGUGCCCAGCACCCAGCACCUGGCCCAGCCCUCAGCACCCAGCACUCAGCACCUGGCCCAGCACAGUGCCCCGCAG